AAACUUACCAGGUCAAGACAUGGGCGUGAUUGACAGGCUAAUGACUUUUCUCGAUUCCAUGGAUGGUGGUGCAUGGUCGCACUUAGUUGGUGCAGUGAUUUGUCAGGUUUAUUCCGGUAACGAACGAGACCUCGGCCUUGUAAAUAGCUAUGCUGCUUACAGGGACAUUGGCGGCUACGCCAAGGAAGCUCGAGGCAAUUGCAGAUCUGGAAUGCCCUUAGAUGUCCUGGGUCGCACGCGUGCUACAAUGACGCCACGAACGAGCUUGCGUGAUGAAAGUUACGCAUAAUCAGCAGUCGGCGUCUUAAGGGAUAGUCUCUUGUAACUGUGGGACUCCAACUAGGAAUGUCUCGUAAGCACAAGUCAACAUCUUGUGUUGAUUACGUCCCUGCUCUUUGUACACACCGCCCGUCGCUCCUACCGAUCGAGUGUUUAGGUGAAUUUGAUGGACGUAAGGAAGUCAAAUAAACCUGAGCACUAGAGAAGAGAAGUCGAGCAUC
RNAcentral lists this ribosomal RNA (500 nucleotides) under uncultured Myrionecta. RNAcentral describes it as "bacterial SSU rRNA". It matches the Rfam family "Eukaryotic small subunit ribosomal RNA", at positions 1211 to 1798 of the family's 1831-position model. Lineage: Eukaryota; Ciliophora; Litostomatea; Cyclotrichida; Mesodiniidae. The record is from RNAcentral.